GACGAACGCUGGCGGCGUGCUUAACACGUGCAAGUCGAACGGAAAGGCCCUGCUUUUGUGGGGUGCUCGAGUGGCGAACGGGUGAGUAACACGUGAGUAACCUGCCCUUGACUUUGGGAUAACUUCAGGAAACUGGGGCUAAUACCGGAUAGGAGCUCCUGCUGCAUGGUGGGGGUUGGAAAGUUUCGGCGGUUGGGGAUGGACUCGCGGCUUAUCAGCUUGUUGGUGGGGUAGUGGCUUACCAAGGCUUUGACGGGUAGCCGGCCUGAGAGGGUGACCGGCCACAUUGGGACUGAGAUACGGCCCAGACUCCUACGGGAGGCAGCAGUGGGGAAUAUUGCACAAUGGGCGGAAGCCUGAUGCAGCAACGCCGCGUGCGGGAUGACGGCCUUCGGGUUGUAAACCGCUUUCGCCUGUGACGAAGCGUGAGGGACGGUAAUGGGUAAAGAAGCACCGGCUAACUACGU
This 467-nucleotide ribosomal RNA is filed under the name uncultured bacterium. Its description in RNAcentral is "partial 16S ribosomal RNA". It matches the Rfam family "Bacterial small subunit ribosomal RNA", at positions 28 to 506 of the family's 1533-position model. The record is from RNAcentral.